GGAGGGCAAGUCUGGUGCCAGCAGCCGCGGUAAUUCCAGCUCCAAAAGUGUAUAUUUAAGUUGUUGCGGUUGAAAAGCUCGUAGUUGGAUAUAGGGACAGUCAGGUCGGUCGGUCGAAAGGCCAGCACUGGCUUGGUUGUCCUAUGAGGUCGGCGCCUUCGCGGUGCUCUUAACUGAGUGUUGCGGCGGUCCGGCAAGUUUACCUUGAAAAAAUUAGAGUGUUCAAAGCAGGCUUUACGCUUGUAUAAUGUUGCAUGGAAUAAUGGAAUAGGACCUCGGUUCUAUUUUGUUGGUUUUCGGAGCACGAGGUAAUGAUUAAUAGGAACGGACGGGGGCAUCCGUACUGUGCCGUUAGAGGUGAAAUUCUUGGAUCGGCGCAAGACGAACGACUGCGAAAGCAUUUGCCAAGAAUGUUUUCUUUAAUCAAGAGCGAAAGUCAGAGGUUCGAAGACGAUCAGAUACCGUCCUAGUUCUGACCUUAAACGAUGCCGACUAGCGAUCGGGCAGUGUCGAAUAUAAGAACUGUCCGGCAGCUUCCGGGAAACCAAAGUGUUUGGGUUCCGGGGGAAGUAUGGUUGCAAAGCUGAAACUUAAAGGAAUUGACGGAAGGGCACCACCAGGAGUGGAGCCUGCGGCUUAAUUUGACUCAACACGGGAAAUCUCACCCGGCCCGGACACAGCGAGGAUUGACAGAUUGAGAGCUCUUUCUUGAUUCUGUGGGUGGUGGUGCAUGGCCGUUCUUAGUUGGUGGAGCGAUUUGUCUGGUUAAUUCCGAUAACGAACGAGACUCUUACCUGCUAAAUAGCUGCUCGACCUUUUACGGUCGGAGACAACUUCUUAGAGGGACUAGUGGCGUUUAGCCACACGAGAUUGAGCAAUAACAGGUCUGUGAUGCCCUUAGAUGUUCGGGGCCGCACGCGCGCUACACUGACCGGAUCAUCGUGUGUUCCCUAGGCCGAAAGGUCCGGGUAAUCCGUUGAACCCCGGUCGUGCUAGGGAUAGGGACUUGCAAUUGUUUCCCUUGAACGAGGAAUUCCCAGUAAGCGCGAGUCAUUAGCUUGCGUUGAUUACGUCCCUGCCCUUUGUACACACCGCCCGUC
RNAcentral lists this ribosomal RNA (1100 nucleotides) under uncultured metazoan. Its description in RNAcentral is "SSU rRNA". It matches the Rfam family "Eukaryotic small subunit ribosomal RNA", at positions 550 to 1677 of the family's 1831-position model. Lineage: Eukaryota; Metazoa. The record is from RNAcentral.